UAGAUCGCAGGAGCAAUUUAAUCUCUCUCGAGCUCGCGACAGUGCAAAGGAACUCCCUGCUCCUGUACAACCCGGGGGGGGCCGUCCAGCAGGGAAUUCUUUGCUUUAGAAAUACUGGACGGGGCCGUGCGCUUCUCGUAUGACCUUGGUUCGGGACCGGUAAGGCUGGAGACAAAAAAGCAAGUGGCAGAUGGACAUUUUCACAGUAUCACUGCCAGGAGGAUUGGCAAUAUGGGCUCUCUGCAUGUGGACACUUGUACAGAUGUUGAGAAUAAUGGAUUUUGUUUUGCUCAGCAUGAUGGGAGUAGUGCAGAAAGGACACUGGAUGUUGGCAGCAUUAAUAUGACAGUUGGAGGACUGAGGACUAUUGAAUCUGUUUUACUCCAUCCUGCACAGAUAAAAACUCAUGACUUUAUUGGAUGCAUUCGAAACGUCCAUAUAAAUGGCAUACAUUUGAGGCCAUCAAUGGCUCUUGCAACAUAUAACAUCCUUGAGAGGUGUCCUCGGGCAUCAGUUUCACUCUGUCACAGCAGUCCAUGUAAGAAUGGCGGUGUGUGCCAUGACUUAUGGUCUCAUUAUUUGUGCAAA
Molecule: long non-coding RNA, 588 nt
Organism: Myripristis murdjan (pinecone soldierfish)
Lineage: Eukaryota; Metazoa; Chordata; Actinopteri; Holocentriformes; Holocentridae
Exons: 4
Source: RefSeq, a predicted model, not a curated record